AACGCGAAGAACCUUACCUGGUCUUGACAUCCACGGAAGUUUUCAGAGAUGAGAAUGUGCCUUCGGGAACCGUGAGACAAGUGCUGCAUGGCUGUCGUCAGCUCGUGUUGUGAAAUGUUGGGUUAAGUCCCGCAACGAGCGCAACCCUUAUCCUUUGUUGCCAGCGGUCCGGCCGGGAACUCAAAGGAGACUGCCAGUGAUAAACUGGAGGAAGGUGGGGAUGACGUCAAGUCAUCAUGGCCCUUACGACCAGGGCUACACACGUGCUACAAUGGCGCAUACAAAGAGAAGCGACCUCGCGAGAGCAAGCGGACCUCAUAAAGUGCGUCGUAGUCCGGAUUGGAGUCUGCAACUCGACUCCAUGAAGUCGGAAUCGCUAGUAAUCGUGGAUCAGAAUGCCACGGUGAAUACGUUCCCGGGUCUUGUACACACCG
RNAcentral lists this ribosomal RNA (434 nucleotides) under uncultured Escherichia sp. RNAcentral's name for it is "bacterial SSU rRNA". It matches the Rfam family "Bacterial small subunit ribosomal RNA", at positions 958 to 1392 of the family's 1533-position model. Lineage: Bacteria; Pseudomonadati; Pseudomonadota; Gammaproteobacteria; Enterobacterales; Enterobacteriaceae. The record is from RNAcentral.